RNAcentral lists this ribosomal RNA (345 nucleotides) under Chloroidium saccharophilum. RNAcentral describes it as "SSU rRNA". It matches the Rfam family "Eukaryotic small subunit ribosomal RNA", at positions 594 to 945 of the family's 1831-position model. Lineage: Eukaryota; Viridiplantae; Chlorophyta; Trebouxiophyceae; Watanabeales; Watanabeaceae. RNAcentral also lists the same sequence under 1 other name. The record is from RNAcentral.
AUAGCGUAUAUUUAAGUUGUUGCAGUUAAAAAGCUCGUAGUUGGAUUUCGGGCGGGGCCUGCCGGUCCGCCUCUGGUGUGCACUGGCAUGGGCUCGCCUCGCUGUCGGGGACGGGCUCCUGGGCUUCACUGUCCGGGACUCGGAGUCGACGAGGUUACUUUGAGUAAAUUAGAGUGUUCAAAGCAGGCCUACGCUCUGAAUACGUUAGCAUGGAAUAACACGAUAGGACUCUGGCCUAUCUUGUUGGUCUGUGGGACCGGAGUAAUGAUUAAGAGGGACGGUCGGGGGCAUUCGUAUUUCAUUGUCAGAGGUGAAAUUCUUGGAUUUAUGAAAGACGAACUUCUG